GACGAACGCCGGCGGCGUGCUUAACACAUGCAAGUCGAACGCUGAAGCUCAGCUUUUGUUGGGUGGAUGAGUGGCGAACGGGUGAGUAACACGUGAGUAACCUGCUUCCUUCUUUGGGAUAACGCCCGGAAACGGGUGCUAAUACUGGAUAUUCACUGGUCUUCGCAUGGGGGUUGGUGGAAAGGGUUUUUCUGGUGGGGGAUGGGCUCGCGGCCUAUCAGCUUGUUGGUGGGGUGAUGGCCUACCAAGGCUUUGACGGGUAGCCGGCCUGAGAGGGUGACCGGUCACAUUGGGACUGAGAUACGGCCCAGACUCCUACGGGAGGAAGCAGUGGGGAAUAUUGCACAAUGGGCGCAAGACUGAUGCAGCGACGCCGCGUGAGGGAUGGAGGCCUUCGGGUUGUGAACCUCUUUCGCUCAUGGUCAAGCCGCAACAAUGGUUGUGGUGAGGGUAGUGGGUAAAGAAGCGCCGGCUAACUACGUG
This 483-nucleotide ribosomal RNA is filed under the name uncultured bacterium. Its description in RNAcentral is "partial 16S ribosomal RNA". It matches the Rfam family "Bacterial small subunit ribosomal RNA", at positions 28 to 507 of the family's 1533-position model. The record is from RNAcentral.